This 382-nucleotide unclassified non-coding RNA is filed under the name Hevea brasiliensis (rubber tree). The record is from RNAcentral. Lineage: Eukaryota; Viridiplantae; Streptophyta; Magnoliopsida; Malpighiales; Euphorbiaceae.
AUUUAUAAUUUUUGAAUAUUUAUGCGGAAUUGGUUUCAAAUAAAGCUAAAUGGAGAACAAUGAUCUAUAUAGCUAACCCUAACUAGUUUGAAAUUCAAAUUCCUCAUCAUAUAGCCAUAUAGAAAUGCACACACAUGAUAUUCCUGCUUCUAAGUAUGACAUUUGUAGUUUCACUUUCACAAUUUCACUUAUCAGGUAAAACUUUUCUUUCAUUGAACUAUGGUGUUUCCACUUUCCACGCUGUAUAUUAUCUUCAAAUUAGUAGAAUUUCUAUCACCUAUUUUUUCUUCUAGAUACCAAGGAAACCAAAGUAAACUACAACUAGAUUAUUGUAUCUUUAGUUGUUGAUGGCUUUAGUGAUCAAGAGAGACAGAGAGAGAGA